RNAcentral lists this ribosomal RNA (1519 nucleotides) under Triticum aestivum (bread wheat). RNAcentral describes it as "partial small subunit ribosomal RNA". Lineage: Eukaryota; Viridiplantae; Streptophyta; Magnoliopsida; Poales; Poaceae. The record is from RNAcentral.
AGGGGAGGGGCGUAGAGGGCCGGUGGAAAUGCGGGCUCCUCUAGCUCGCUCGCGGGCUCGCGCGGGCAGGAGCGUCGGAGGAGGGUACUAAGGGGCGUGGGCUCGGGGUGCUCUCCUCGAGGAGGGCACCAAAAUGUUCGGCGGCGGCCGCUGGUGGUCGGUGUCGAACGGCCUCACGCUGCCGCGGCGGCAACGCUCGUGAAAUGGGACAGAGUACACCAGCGGGCGUAGUGAAGGGGAACGAUCCCAAAGACGAGCCCGGCACCGGAUCUACUUGCCGGAGCCGUCAACACCACCGCGCACACUCUAGGGGGAGGGGCUGUUCCGACGUUGACCUAGGGGAGGAGAGCUGGCGACCUAGGCGACCUAGGCGAGGAGAGGAUGUACCGGCGGUAGCCUAGGGGAGGAGAGGCUGUCGUUGCGGAUACCAAGGUCGCGUUCCAGCUGUUCCAGUGGGAGAAGCAGUUCCAGCUGCUCCGGUGAGAGAAGCUGGAGUAGGACCAUCAUAAACGGUUUCCAACAACAACGGCACCUCCAGUUGCCAGCAGUGUUCGGAUGUUCUCUUAUAUAACUGUCUCUCAAAUUACCACAUUUUGGUGGGUUAUUAAAGCCGCUUCAACUAGUGACCUGGCGCACCCGCAUGUCUGGUGCCUGGUAGAGCAACGAAGACUACCCUUGGACGAAAAAUUACCCACAGAAACGCUACUAACGAUAAAAGAACCGAAUAAGAAAAGAAGUUCGUGGAAGUUGCACUCAACAUCUUCGAUACAUGGAAUAAAAAAAUUAAGAAUAAAACAUACUUGCCCGUACAUCUAUACUUAUUCAUAUAACACGUGACGGUAACUCGUCUUCCCCUCACAUAAAUACACACGAAAUACAAACUAGACUCGAAGAGUUAUAGAAGCUCGAAAACUUCAUACUAGACAUCAUGGUUGGUAAGUUUUUUUUUAACAUCAACGUGAUUGAUCCUGUCGUUUCGGAAUGAAGUAAUGACGAGGCACAUAUUUAUUUUUUGUAAAGGACAAAACAUCAACGUGAUUGGUCCUGUCGUCCCGACCUCUACGAUACAAUAUUAAUUAGUAGUCAAUGAUUUUAAAUCGAAGACGAACGAUGACCACGUUAGAUAAAGGAUAAAAACAGAUGAUUAGUGGUAAAUGAUCUUAAAUGUAAGACGGACUAUAACGAACCAAUAACUGCGGUGAUCAAACAUGACUUUGCACCUCUGAAAUGUGAAACGUUCUAGUAAGCCACCACCACUGGGUAUACUACCGCUAAACGAGGCCGGUAAGGUCAAGACCGCCACCACCACGACGACUAGGAUGCUACCAUCUGAGCAGACGGAGGCGAUCGGCGGAGGCACCACUACUUCGAGCCAGAUCCGAUGUUGGGGAGGCCUCUCGAGGAGUGCAGGGGAAGAUGGGGAGAAUGAACGAGGAACCAAGAUACGAGGCGGAAACACUGCACAUUAACAAGUUAAAACAAGUAUCAGCUCGUAACCUACUAUAACAUAAACAGUACU